Zophobas morio is the source of this 294-nucleotide long non-coding RNA. RefSeq lists it as uncharacterized. The transcript is spliced from 3 exons. The record is from RefSeq and is a predicted model, not a curated record. NCBI's taxonomy places the organism in Eukaryota, Metazoa, Arthropoda, Insecta, Coleoptera, Tenebrionidae.
UCGUCGAUGUAAUUAGGAAGUGUUACAUUUAACCACUCUAACCUUUGGUCUGAUACAUCUGCAUAAGAUAACUAAUAGUGGCGUCGACGUUGCAAAACCUCGGAUCACCUGCUUCCUUCAAAAACCUCAAAGAUGCCGUAACUAAUGGUGAAAAUAUUUGAAUGGCUCGCAGCACAUUCAUUUUCUCGAAAUUCGAAGGGUACAAACGCUUCCUGGUUAGAUGAAAUAACACCUUCGGAAGAGGACAUUUCCCUGUCUAAAAAUAAACUCCUCGCAUUCUUCACUGCGUGACAA